RNAcentral lists this ribosomal RNA (464 nucleotides) under uncultured bacterium. Its description in RNAcentral is "SSU rRNA". It matches the Rfam family "Bacterial small subunit ribosomal RNA", at positions 26 to 518 of the family's 1533-position model. The record is from RNAcentral.
AGAAUCAACGCUGGCGGCGUGCCUAACACAUGCAAGUCGAACGAGAAAGUGGGAGCAAUCCCACGAGUAAAGUGGCGCACGGGUGAGUAACACGUGACUAACCUACCCUUGAGUGGGGGAUAACCUAGGGAAACCUGGGCUAAUACCGCAUAAUACCUACGGGUCAAAGGAGCAAUUCGCUUUAGGAGGGGGUCGCGGCAGAUUAGUUAGUUGGCGGGGUAAUGGCCCACCAAGACAGUGAUCUGUAUCCGGCCUGAGAGGGCGCACGGACACACUGGAACUGAAACACGGUCCAGACUCCUACGGGAGGCAGCAGUGGGGAAUUUUGCGCAAUGGGGGAACCCUGACGCAGCAACGCCGCGUGGAGGAUGAAGCCCCGUUGGGGCCGUUAAACUCCUUUCGAUCGGGAAGAUAAUGACGGUACCGGAAGAAGAACGCCCGGCUAACUUCGCGCCAGCAGCCGC